Molecule: non-coding RNA, 51 nt
Organism: Triticum aestivum (bread wheat)
Lineage: Eukaryota; Viridiplantae; Streptophyta; Magnoliopsida; Poales; Poaceae
Source: Rfam
AGAGUAGUACUAGGAUGGGUGACCUCCUGGGAAGUCCUCGUGUUGCAUUCC